Molecule: ribosomal RNA, 253 nt
Filed under: uncultured bacterium
Lineage: Bacteria
Description: partial 16S ribosomal RNA
Rfam family: Bacterial small subunit ribosomal RNA
Source: RNAcentral
UACGGAGGGUGCAAGCGUUGCUCGGAAUUAUUGGGCGUAAAGGGUAGGUAGGUGGUCUCAUUUGUCUGGGGUGAAAGCCUUGAGCUUAACUCAAGAAGUGCCCUAGAAACGGUGAGACUGGAGUCCUGGAGAGGGUCGUGGAAUUCCCGGUGUAGCGGUGAAAUGCGUAGAGAUCGGGAGGAACACCAGAGGCGAAAGCGGCGACCUGGACAGGUACUGACACUCAACUACGAAAGCGUGGGGGGCAAACAGG